GACGAACGCUGGCGGCGUGCCUAAUACAUGCAAGUUGAGCGCUGAAGGUUGGUACUUGUACCAACUGGAUGAGCAGCGAACGGGUGAGUAACGCGUGGGGAAUCUGCCUUUGAGCGGGGGACAACAUUUGGAAACGAAUGCUAAUACCGCAUAAAAACUUUAAACACAAGUUUUAAGUUUGAAAGAUGCAAUUGCAUCACUCAAAGAUGAUCCCGCGUUGUAUUAGCUAGUUGGUGAGGUAAAGGCUCACCAAGGCGAUGAUGCAUAGCCGACCUGAGAGGGUGAUCGGCCACAGUGGGACUGAGACACGGCCCAAACUCCUACGGGAGGCAGCAGUAGGGAAUCUUCGGCAAUGGACGAAAGUCUGACCGAGCAACGCCGCGUGAGUGAAGAAGGUUUUCGGAUCGUAAAACUCUGUUGGUAGAGAAGAACGUUGGUGAGAGUGGAAAGCUCAUCAAGUGACGGUAACUACCCAGAAAGGGACGGCUAACUACGUG
RNAcentral lists this ribosomal RNA (497 nucleotides) under uncultured bacterium. Its description in RNAcentral is "partial 16S ribosomal RNA". It matches the Rfam family "Bacterial small subunit ribosomal RNA", at positions 28 to 507 of the family's 1533-position model. The record is from RNAcentral.